CGGCGAGUGAAGCGGUAAAAGCUCAAAUUUGAAAUCUGGCUCUCUUAGGGUCCGAGUUGUAAUUUGUAGAAGAUGCUUCGGGUGUGGUUCCGGUCUAAGUUCCUUGGAACAGGACGUCAUAGAGGGUGAGAAUCCCGUAUGUGAUUGGAUACCUACGCUCAUGUGAAGCUCUUUCGACGAGUCGAGUUGUUUGGGAAUGCAGCUCAAAAUGGGUGGUAUAUUUCAUCUAAAGCUAAAUAUUGGCCAGAGACCGAUAGCGCACAAGUAGAGUGAUCGAAAGAUGAAAAGCACUUUGGAAAGAGAGUUAAACAGUACGUGAAAUUGUUGAAAGGGAAGCGCUUGCAAUCAGACUUGGACUUGGUGUUCAGCAGGGCCUCGUGCCCUGUGUAUUUCACCAAGUACAGGCCAGCAUCAGUUUGGGUGGUUAGAUAAAGGCUUAGAGAAUGUGGCCCUCUUCGGGGGGUGUUAUAGCUCUAGGUGCAAUGUAGCCUACCUGGACUGAGGACCGCGCUUCGGCUAGGAUGCUGGCGUAAUGGUUGUAAGCGACCCGUCUUGAAACACGGACCAAGGAGUGUACCUAAUAUGCGAGUGUUUGGGUGUUAAACCCAUACGCGUAAUGAAAGUGAACGGAGGUGAGAACCCUUAAGGGUGCAUCAUCGACCGAUCCUGAUGUCUUCGGAUGGAUUUGAGUAAGAGCAUAUUGGGUGCUACCCGAAAGAUGGUGAUCUAUACGUGAAUAGGGUGAAGCCAGAGGAAACUCUGGUGGAGGCUCGCAGCGGUUCUGACGUGCAAAUCGAUCGUCAAAUUUGCGUAUAGGGGCGAAAGACUAAUC
Molecule: ribosomal RNA, 832 nt
Filed under: Sclerencoelia fraxinicola
Lineage: Eukaryota; Fungi; Ascomycota; Leotiomycetes; Helotiales; Sclerotiniaceae
Description: eukaryotic LSU rRNA
Rfam family: Eukaryotic large subunit ribosomal RNA
Source: RNAcentral